AGGGCUGCGGGCUCCUGGCCGCGGAGGCCGCAGAGGGUUAUCGCGGCGUGGUCUCCGCGGGGCCCCCGGACGAUCGCGCCGUCAGACCCAGGGGUCGGCGAGCGGCCGCGGGCUGCAGUGCCUCCAGUACAGCAGGAGCUCUGGGAGGGGAGGGGGUUGUCAGACACCCCGCCCCCGCCCCUGGGCCCUGCCCCAGCCGGAGUUGAAUCCAGGACCAACGGCUCUUCACCUCACCACGCCCACUCUCAGCUCCAGCCAUGGGGCCCCUGCUAACCCUGUUCCUGGUGGCCCUGGUGGGCCUCCCGCUGGCCCAGGCUCUGGACUGCCACGUGUGCGCCUACAACGGAGAGAACUGCUUCAACCCCGUCCACUGCCCGGCCAUGGUCACCUACUGCAUGACCACGCGCACUUACUACACCCCGACCAGGAUGAAGGUGAGCAAGUCCUGCGUGCCCAGCUGCUUCGAGACCGUGUACGAUGGUUACUCCAAGCACGCCUCUACCACCUCCUGCUGCCAGUACGACCUCUGUAACGGCGCUGGCCUCGCCAUCCCCGGAACCCUGGCCCUGGCCCCCAUACUCCUGGCUACCCUCUGGGGUCUGCUCUGAAGCCCUGCCCCCACCAGGACCCACGCAAGGACAAGUUCUGAGAAGCCCAGCCCUACCCUUUCACCCUUUCACCCUGCCCCCACCUUCUGUGCUCCCAGAGACCACCCCCCGCAACCGCUCCAGCCACCAUCCAGAACUGCCUACUGGAGGGACUCGAGUGUCCACCACCAUCCUGGGCCUCGCUCCCAGACCACCACCUUCCAUUUUCCAAAGGGAGAGAAGGGAGCUGGGUGGGACCAGAACAGCCUGAUCUUCAGCCCUGGCCUGGCCCUUAGUGGAGGGGAGUGAGCCACAGCAGGUGCCUGAGAGUGUGAGCACCCGAAUCAGCGGGGGAGGGUGGAGGGCGGAGGAUGGAGGGCGGAGGUCGGGGUGGGGGGGUGCGGGGAGGAUCCUGGGAGGAAGGAGAGGAGUCGGAGAGAUGCUGGGAGAGGCCGACUCUGGGAUGCAAUGCAGAUGACCAGGCUCCCUCUGGACACGCACCCCAGGAUUUCCUCUGCAACCCCCAUCCCAAUAAGCACUGCCCACAGCGGCUUCCGGCUGGCCUCCCUCCGCUCUGGCCUGCAGGCCCCGCUCAGUGAGUGCUGGCUGAACUGGCCUGGGCCCCAAAGCCUGAGCCCAUCAGCCUGCGGGUCUCCAGGGAACCCUCUACCCUCCAACUGUGCUUGAGGAGAGAGAGAGGCCCACCGGGGCUGGAGAGCUUCCUCUCUGAUCCGAGGAGUGGUCUGCAAGUGUCCCCAACCUAGUGGGGUAUUGGGACCUUCAAAGGCCCAAGAAUUGGCAUUAUUUAAAGGGUAUAAGCCUAGGUGAACCCCACCCCUGGCCUGGUUUCAGAGAUAAGAGUCUGCCCAGCACAGACCAUGCUGGAUCAGGGUGGCCCAGGAAACGCCGGUCCUCCUCCCACUGAGGCCAGACUGCAUGCCACAUGGUGCCCCAGGUCACACAGGGCCUGCCUGAGGCCUUAGCUGCCCAGUGUCCCCAGCCCGAGGGUCCGGGGAGGGGCCCAGGAGCACCUUCAGGCUGUCUGGACCUAAGUGGGCAGGAUUGUGGCAAAUGCCUGUGUGGUGGCAUCGUCCCUGGAAUGCAGAGGCUCUUGGCCCCCAAGCGUGGCCUCGUCAAGGGAGACUGUGCUGGAGAUCCCGCCUUGAGAGCUUCACCCAGUGCUUCCAGAACCCAAGGGAUUAGGAUAUCGUGGGAGAGCCUGGGGGAGCCUCAGCAGGUGACCUCGGGCAGACCUGGUUGGACCUCCCAGAAGGUCGGGGAAGAUGAGUUUCUCAUCCUGGGCGGGAAAGGAGCUGCACCCCACAGAGUGUCCGGUCAAGGGCUCAGUCCCCACAGGACACCUGGGUGCCUCCUCCUGAGGCCCGAUCCGGUAUGAGCCCUUCCCUGGGGGAGGCGGGCAGCAAGCCAGACUCCAACUCUGAGCUCCCACAGGUCCUGCGGGACACCCCCCAGGAAGGGUUGGUCUCAGGAAGACCAAGCUCCCCACAAGGCUGCCUGGAGGGCCAGCGCAGGCCUCUACCUGCGGAUGCCGGCUGGAAGAAAGGGUAGACAGAGUCCUCCAGCCCUAGCCGCCCUUGACCUGACUCAGUGGGAGAGGCUUGGAAUCGGUUGUUAAAGUGCUUGUGUAAGACCUUUGUCCUGGGUCAGCAGGCAUCCUAGGCCACGGCCGGGAGGAGCACAGGAUCGGUCCUCCCUCCCCUCAGUGGCUGAUGACGUUAGAGCCCUGCCUGGGCACCCGUGGGCUCUGGGGUCACUGAGAGCAGGGAUCCAGGGAGCUGGGCUUGCCGCCGUAUGGGGUUGCUUCUUACACCUGCCUUCUGUGCCCCUCUGUCCACUGUGACCUGGUCCAAGCCCAACACCCACCGCAUUGCACCAGGCCCGCAGGACCGUGCCGUCCACCCCACCGCCACAGGCCGGGCUCUGGCUGGCUGGGCUGUCCUCAGAACCCAGCCCGGAGCCCUCAGGAGGUCCUCGACCAAUACGGGGGCCCCGGCCCCUGGUGGGACGCAUGUGACGCUGACCUGGAAGGGCAGUGCCGGUGGGGACAAGCACAGCGACCAUGGGAACUGACUGUCCGGCUGCCCUGUGCUGUGGCUGUAAGCACUCCACGACCACCCUGCGAGGUAGAAGGCAUUACAGGUGAGGAGGCUGAGGCACGGGGCGCUGGCGUGGCUGCCCGACACCCCCCACCCUGCCCCCGCUGUGCAGUCUUCUCCCAUCUGCUGGGAGGCUGCGUCCCAGAGCCUGGGACAGGGAAGGGAGCAGGUUAUAAACUUAGAACUAUUUUGGCCUGUGAGAUAAUGAUAAGAGCUGAGGGUCAGGAAAGCUCUAGAAGGGGAAAAGUAGAAGCAGAGAUUUGAGACACCGUGAGGCCCAGAGGCAGGCGUCCAGCCCCGCGUCUGCGUCCCGCAAGCUGGGGUUGCAGAGGGGGGGCACAGGGGCACCAGGCCCGUGUCUCCAGCUGCCAGCGAGACAGUGGGCAUUUCCACUGUGGGGGUCCCCCCAACAGAAAUGAGUGUCCCGUCCAUGUGAAUCGAUGCUCGGGCUCUUUAAAGCUCUCCGUGGCGUCCAAAUCUCGAGUCUGGAAGCAGCCUGGGUGUCUCUGCUGUGCUGCUUCCUGUGGGCACCCUGGGAGCACAGCUGGGGAGCGGGGGCAGCAGGCGCCCACCCUGGGGACACAGGGUGGGCAUCUGCAGCCAAAGGCACCCUCCAGACCUGUGUGCGGCCUGGCCCCGCUGCAUACAGAAGGCAUCAGGAAGGUGCGCUGGUGGUGGGCGGGCGGGGAGGGGGGGUCGACCAACCGCCCCAUCUCCCUCCGCAGCUGCUGACUUGUUUGAUAAACAUGUAACUCAUUCAUGCUUCUAGACCUCUUGAGUUCUGUUGGGUCCUACAGCUCUGGGCUGGCUCAUUCAUAAAAUGGGCAUGAUGCCCACCAAGCCGAGGCCUCGGGGGGAUGGACGAAGCUGGGGGUGUAAGUGCCCAGCCCAGGGCCCAGCACACAGGAGGCCUCAGAUCCAUGGGUGGUCCCUCCUCCCUUCCUGCCACUGCGAGCUCUGGACACUUCCAGGGCCAUGCCCCUGCAGGCAGCUAAUGCCAACCCCUGACCCUGACCCUGACCCUGACCCGCAUGAGACUCCGCCUUUGGGCCUGGGCCUCCUUCUCUGUUCACACUAUGCACUUCAGUAUCUCCAGUGUGAAUAAACAGAUGAGGACACA
RNAcentral lists this long non-coding RNA (3824 nucleotides) under Canis lupus familiaris (dog). Its description in RNAcentral is "lncRNA (ENSCAFG00845014311.1)". Lineage: Eukaryota; Metazoa; Chordata; Mammalia; Carnivora; Canidae. The record is from RNAcentral.